Teleopsis dalmanni is the source of this 1434-nucleotide long non-coding RNA. RefSeq lists it as uncharacterized. NCBI's taxonomy places the organism in Eukaryota, Metazoa, Arthropoda, Insecta, Diptera, Diopsidae. The record is from RefSeq and is a predicted model, not a curated record. The transcript has 3 exons.
UGCACAGUAACGAAAGCGCAGUAACGAAAACGCAGUAACGAAAGCGCAGUAACGAAAGCGCAGUAACGAAUACUGAGUAACGAAUACAUACUCGAAAAGUAACGGGUAGUUACAAAUACGCAAAAGUAACGAAGUUUGGCACCACUAGUGGGUAUUAUUAUUUCUACUAGUACAUGUAUACAAUAUAAAAAUGAAACGUUUAUGCUUAAAUAUAGUUAAAGCGCAUUUAAAGAAAGGCUGAAAAAUUCAGUCACACGGUGAAAAAAUUUUCUAUUACGUGGAUAUGAUUUGUUUUAUGAUGCAAGUCCUAGUUUUAUUAAAACUUUACCAUGGGCAGUUUCUUCAUACCAUAACAUUGUCUGUGGGAUGCAAUAAAUAAAAUAAUUGUUUAACAUAAUAACUAAUUAAAUGCAUUAAAGUUACGCUCUGACUCACUCUAAAUGUAAACGCCAAAUCAAUUGUUAAGAUAGUCUACCUUUGCAGAUACAUAUAUCAGUUAAAGUGGAAUUCCAAACAGUAAGUUGGUAAAUAUUUUAUAACAUUUUUCCAGUAUACGAAAACCGUGAUAUUCUUUAUUUCGACUUCCAAUUUACUAACAACAAUGGAUUUAAAGAAUCGGAACGAUAAGACAAUCCAGCACCAUGUAACAUAGAGUUAUCGGAUAAAAACCGUCGACUUGAAUUUAGAUGACUAGACAAAAAAAGAAGAAGCAUGGGUAUAAAGAACUCUUAUAUGACCUAGACAGAUCACGUCUCUUACGUCACAUCUCAUAGAAAUCAUAGAUGAACUUAACAUAAGUUUAGUUUAGAAACUUUAAAUUUUUCAAUUAAUGAAAAGUGAAUUUCAAGAAUUAUAUUCCAGAGAGAAUGCUGUGAGCGUUUUCGGGUUUAAUUACUUGAUUACCGACUGUUGGCUGUUUACGUGUGACAAUUCAUAGUUCCAAAACUCAUUAACCAGCAUUAAAAAUCUCUAUUGACUUUGUGGUAGCAUUUUAUUAAUACUUUAGUAUUUAUUAGAAUGGCUGCAAAAGCAAUUAGAUACUUACUAACCUAUAAACGCCAAUAAGUUAUAAUAGUACUGUUAUUAUAAUAGCCAAUCGAUAUUCUCCCCUCGCGUGAAUAGCAUACCAACGAUGCAUGGCAUUGUACUAAAGUGCUUCGUGCUUCGAUUAAAUAGAUGUGCUUAAUUUUUAGGAACUCUGACUUCAACUACAGAUGGCAUAAGUAAGAUAAGUAUAAACUUCGGGAUGGUGAAAACAGCGACAUUCAGCCUUUUUAACUGUAUGUGGCACUGCUGCUUUUGAAAUCGAAGGAAGCAAGAUUCUCAAAGAUAAAAUUAAUUAAGAACUACUGGAGAAGUACGAUGAGCCAAGAGAGACUCAAGUGGCAAUUCUAUCAAUUGGUGAAAAUUAUGAUAUAAUUUUAAAAAUAUUCA